RNAcentral lists this ribosomal RNA (263 nucleotides) under uncultured bacterium. RNAcentral's name for it is "partial 16S ribosomal RNA". It matches the Rfam family "Bacterial small subunit ribosomal RNA", at positions 793 to 1055 of the family's 1533-position model. The record is from RNAcentral.
GUCCACGCCCUAAACUAUGUCAACUGGUUGUCGGGGAAGCAAUUCCUUGGUAACGAAGCUAACGCGUGAAGUUGACCGCCUGGGGAGUACGGCCGCAAGGUUAAAACUCAAAGGAAUUGACUGGACCCGCACAAGCGGUGGAUUAUGUGGAUUAAUUCGAUGCAACGCGAAAAACCUUACCUACCCUUGACAUGUACGGAACCUCGCAGAGAUGUGAGGGUGCCCUAAAGGGAACCGUAACACAGGUGCUGCAUGGCUGUCGU